This 1175-nucleotide ribosomal RNA is filed under the name Escherichia coli. RNAcentral's name for it is "partial 23S ribosomal RNA". It matches the Rfam family "Bacterial large subunit ribosomal RNA", at positions 1 to 1207 of the family's 2925-position model. Lineage: Bacteria; Pseudomonadati; Pseudomonadota; Gammaproteobacteria; Enterobacterales; Enterobacteriaceae. The record is from RNAcentral.
GGGUUGUGAGGUUAAGCGACUAAGCGUACACGGUGGAUGCCCUGGCAGUCAGAGGCGAUGAAGGACGUGCUAAUCUGCGAUAAGCGUCGGUAAGGUGAUAUGAACCGUUAUAACCGGCGAUUUCCGAAUGGGGAAACCCAAGUGUGAUUCGUCACACUAUCAUUAACUGAAUCCAUAGGUUAAUGAGGCGAACCGGGGGAACUGAAACAUCUAAGUACCCCGAGGAAAAGAAAUCAACCGAGAUUCCCCCAGUAGCGGCGAGCGAACGGGGAGCAGCCCAGAGUCUGAAUCAGUGUGUGUGUUAGUGGAAGCGUCUGGAAAGGCGCGCGAUACAGGGUGACAGCCCCGUACACAAAAAUGCACAUGCUGUGAGCUCGAUGAGUAGGGCGGGACACGUGGUAUCCUGUCUGAAUAUGGGGGGACCAUCCUCCAAGGCUAAAUACUCCUGACUGACCGAUAGUGAACCAGUACCGUGAGGGAAAGGCGAAAAGAACCCCGGCGAGGGGAGUGAAAAAGAACCUGAAACCGUGUACGUACAAGCAGUGGGAGCACGCUUAGGCGUGUGACCGCGUACCUUUUGUAUAAUGGGUCAGCGACUUAUAUUCUGUAGCAAGGUUAACCGAAUAGGGGAGCCGAAGGGAAACCGAGUCUUAACUGGGCGUUAAGUUGCAGGGUAUAGACCCGAAACCCGGUGAUCUAGCCAUGGGCAGGUUGAAGGUUGGGUAACACUAACUGGAGGACCGAACCGACUAAUGUUGAAAAAUUAGCGGAUGACUUGUGGCUGGGGGUGAAAGGCCAAUCAAACCGGGAGAUAGCUGGUUCUCCCCGAAAGCUAUUUAGGUAGCGCCUCGUGAACUCAUCUCCGGGGGUAGAGCACUGUUUCGGCAAGGGGGUCAUCCCGACUUACCAACCCGAUGCAAACUGCGAAUACCGGAGAAUGUUAUCACGGGAGACACACGGCGGGUGCUAACGUCCGUCGUGAAGAGGGAAACAACCCAGACCGCCAGCUAAGGUCCCAAAGUCAUGGUUAAGUGGGAAACGAUGUGGGAAGGCCCAGACAGCCAGGAUGUUGGCUUAGAAGCAGCCAUCAUUUAAAGAAAGCGUAAUAGCUCACUGGUCGAGUCGGCCUGCGCGGAAGAUGUAACGGGGCUAAACCAUGCACCGAAGCUGCGGCA